CCACAUCAUGAAAGCCGCUUGUACCCGAAGUCGCUGUGCCGACUCGCAAGAGAGGCAGGUGCCGAAGGUAUGGGUGGUGAUUGGGAUG
RNAcentral lists this ribosomal RNA (88 nucleotides) under uncultured bacterium. RNAcentral describes it as "partial 16S ribosomal RNA". The record is from RNAcentral.